UCUUCCGCAAUGGGCGCAAGCCUGACGGAGCGACGCCGCGUGAGGGAUGAAGGCCUUCGGGUUGUAAACCUCUUUUGCAGGGGACGAUACAAGACGGUACUCUGCGAAUAAGCCUCGGCUAACUACGUGCCAGCAGCCGCGGUAAAACGUAGGGGGCGAGCGUUGUCCCGAAUCACUGGGCGUAAAGCGCUUGUAGGCGGCUUGGUGUGUCCCGGAAUAAAUCCUACAGCUCAACUGUGGGACUGUUCGGGAAACUACCGAGCUUGAGAUCCGAAGAGGAAUGUGGAAUUCCUGGUGUAGCGGCGAAAUGCGUAGAUAUCAGGAGGAACACCUGUGGCGAAGGCGGCAUUCUGGUCGGCAUCUGACGCUAGAAGCGAAG
Molecule: ribosomal RNA, 379 nt
Filed under: uncultured bacterium
Lineage: Bacteria
Description: bacterial SSU rRNA
Rfam family: Bacterial small subunit ribosomal RNA
Source: RNAcentral